GCCAAGUUGCGUUAAGGGAGAGAUGGUGAGGAGACGAUGCUCAUAAAACCAUUCAGGGCCUGAGGCAGUCAAACAAACAUUUACUGAUUUCCCCACCCAAUGGACCAUUUGGAAAUUGCCACGUUUGCAUACCAAAUUGACCGUUAACGCAUCACUUUCUGGCAACUAGAAUAACCAUUUCUUCGUCCUCCCAGCUGAUGACAACACCAUACACACAAAUCUUGGACUCGCAACUAUAAGCUCUAGGGUUUUCUUUUCUUUCUUUGAUAUGCGAAAAUGACGGUUACUACUGAGAUCAGCGCUGGAGAUCACGCGGUCGAGCUGAUCGUGCGAGACGCAUCGGCAUCAUCACCUGAUGGCAGUGCGGACGACGGAGCAGGCGGCGGCUCUGGCUCUGAGGAAAUGGCCCCUCUUUUGAACCAGGCCGAGAAGCCCAAGAUCAAUAUCUUUUCCGUUUCUUACUCUCGUAGAAAACCUAGAGAGCAAGUGGCAAGAUUACCUGAAACAGAGACAUCCCCAAUAACACAGUUUAUUUUCUGGAUAUGGGGUGGAUCCAGAUACUCGGGCAUAUUGUGCAUGGCCUUAUCAUCAACCAUCUACUUCGUAAUGGAAGUUCUAUCUGAUUCUUUCUCUGCUCGGUCAAUCCCUUUGUUUGAGACUGCAUUUACAAGAUGUACAAUAGUAUUGAUAUUAUCAUAUGUAUGGUUGAGGAGAAGUGGACAGCCAUUAUUUGGAGCAGCAAAUGCUAGGAAACUUCUGUUUUGGAGAGCCUUAACGGGAUAUCUAUCAUUAUUGAGUUUUAUUUAUUGGUAAGUUCAACCUGAUGCACGUACUCCUGCAUGUAGAUACAAUUUAGUUUCAUUUUGUCAUCUGCUUCUAUCAUAUUCAGUUAGGUGGGUGAGGGUCAGUAGGGAUGCAGGUAGAGGGGGUGCAAGGGUACAAUUACUGAGGUUCACUGAUCACGUAGACAAUGUUCAUUAUUUCUUAAUCACAAACAUUUUCAGAAUACUCAUUUUUAUACUGUGAAGAUGUGGUGCAUCUUGCCAGGAUCACUUGAUCAUAGAUUCAUCUGCAAUGUUGCAAUCCUAAAUUUGCAAUGCGAGAUGAAUUAACCAUAAUUGUGGAGAUAUAGUGUGACUACCUGCAGGCUGCAUCUCUAGUUGCUAGUGUGUAAUUCUGAAAAUGUUAAGGGCUGGCUCAGCUUUUACCCAUGAUGAAAUGGUUUUACAAUUUUAUAUGAGCUAAUCAAUCAAGGGUUUCAUUAAAAAGUUUUUAGUUGUGCAAUACCACUGAAUGUUGAAAUUAUAAAGGUCAGUUCACAUUUUCAGCUCUGGUGUACUCUUUAUAUGAUACCUGAUGUUUUGGUUGCUUGUGGAACAAUUCUCACUGCUUGCACUGUCUUGUUUCCAAAACUUUUUCUUUGGCUUGAAAAACUUUAAUUCUUUGGAAAUUUGACUAACUAGCAAAAUGCUGUAAUAACUAGUAGUUGGCGCCUUACUUUUCCCUCUUUCAGCAUUCAGAGGUUACCCUUGUCUCAGGCUAUUGUAUUAAAUUUCACAACUCCAAUUGUGGCUUCAAUUGUGGCAAGGAUCAUGUUACAUGAAAAGUUAAAAAUUGCAGAUAUUGGAGGUCUUGCUUGCAGUUUCAUUGGUGUGGUCUUCAUUUAUAGACAGAUACUUAGAACACAAGGUAGAGAAGUGAGUUAACAAAACCUCCUAUCCUGUGAUGAUAAUGUUUGCUUAAAGAAUAUCAGCAAUUGAAAGAAUUUCAAUGUAAUAUUAUUGUUGUUUUUCUUUUUUCUCUAUAAUAACAACAAUAUGGAUCCCCACUUUUGUUGUAUCAUACCCUAUUCAUACAUAGAUUGCUUUAUACAAGUGCUACUAAUAUUCUUUCUGCAUUAAAGAAAGUAUAGUACAAUCAGCUUUCAAGUGAAUUAUAAACUUUCUUCCUUUUUUCUCCUCUCCUCUUCUCUCCUUUUUCUCUCAUGAUGAGAGUUUUAUCUGCUUGCUAUUUUCAGCUAUUUCAAAUUCUCUAUUUUUGGACCCCAUGAAAAGGCUGAUGCUGAAAGGGAAAAAAUCUCUGGGAGCAGAUUUUUUUCAUCAAUCCUGGGUUUUCUAAUAGAUUUUUUUCCCCCUUUGUGGCACCUAGUCAAUCUUGUGAAGCUGUUGGAUUACAUAACUUGCUGGGACUUUGGAUAUGAAAUACAAAUAGAUAUAACGUACAGGAGAAACGGGCAACUCAUGGACUUGAACAAUAUACGUGUUCUUCACUUUUCGUUUGUUUCUGGUCUCUUGGCCUUUGUUUAUAGCUUUAUGUAUAAGAAAAUCCUUCUCACCUUCCACCCUCUCUGCUUUGUGCUCUCUUUCCCCCUCACCAGAUUGCAGUACAUCUUUUUUCUUGUGGAACUGUUCAAUACUGGCAAAUUUAUUUGUUUUCUUUUGACAGGGGGGUGGAUUAGAGGUGGGGAAAAAAGCAAUGCAACUGCUAAGGGAAGUCACCACAUAUAUGCCGUAUUGGUUGGUUUAUUCUCAUCAAUUACUGGUGGAAUCAGUUACUGCCUUAUAAAGGCUGGAGCAAAGGCAUCUGAUCAACCUGUGGCCACUGUUUUUUCAUUUGGCUUACUCUCUAGCCCUGCUGCGGGAAUAUGUACAUUUGCUUUUGAGGAAUUUGUGGUGCCAGAUUUUUAUUCAUUCACUUUUAUGCUUCUACUGGGUGUUCUGGCCUUCUUUGUAGAGGUGCUAGUUUAAACUAUAAUUUAUCUUCUUGGUUCAUAGAGGUGCUACUUUUGUGUGCAGUAAUUUCUACAUGCCAUCAAAAUUUUAUUUUGUCACUGAUAAUUUUGUGACUUUUCUUUAUCACUUUAUGGGUUUCUAAGCAUGUUUGCUACUUUCCAGGUGUUUUUAGCUCGUGGAUUUCAGCUUGAAAGGACCAGCAGGGCUGCAAAUGUCCAGUACAUUGAGGUUGCCCUGUCACAGUUGUGGGGAAUGAGUUCUUCGAGGGCAUCUUCACCAUUUGGAGGUCUAGUUGGAUGUUUACUCAUCUUGAUUUCAGUAUGCUGUACCAUAUAUUUUGGACCUUACAAAGAGAUGGAAUGACACCAAAGAUGACGUAAUCAACUUGUUUAAUUUCCCAAGCCUUUUUAAAAUUGUAUGUAGUGGCUUCCGAUUAACUUUUCGCUCCUACUCGAGUAUCAGUUUCCAUUUUCGGGGUGAGGUUCUACCCAAUUGGCCUGAUGACCUUGUUGCACAUGACAUCAAUUGGCUGCUGCAAUGAUUAUGUAAAUCAUAAUUUGGUUUUGAGUUUUAAUUCUAGUCAUGAUGUGAAGUUAGUAAUAAACGGUUUGAAAAAACUAGAGCAAAAGCAGGUUAACAAGCGGAACAUAUAAAUCUUAGUAUGCAUAGAUCUCGCUUGGGAUCGAUUCGAAUGGUGAAUUAAAUCAGAAUCGGAUUGGCUUAAAUUUAAUUGGAAUUAGACCGAACCUUGUUAGAACUAUGAUUGAUUUGAGCCAUGAUUGAAUCAGAUUCAGAUCAUCAUUCAGAUCGGUUUCAGGCAAACAUCAAUUUUAUUUCAUUUAAAAGAUUAAACCGUUGACUUUAAUCAAAU
This 3603-nucleotide unclassified non-coding RNA is filed under the name Hevea brasiliensis (rubber tree). Lineage: Eukaryota; Viridiplantae; Streptophyta; Magnoliopsida; Malpighiales; Euphorbiaceae. The record is from RNAcentral.